AACGAACGCUGGCGGCAGGCCUAACACAUGCAAGUCGAGCGGACAUCUUCGGAUGUUAGCGGCGGACGGGUGAGUAACGCGUGGGAACGUGCCCUUUGCUUCGGAAUAGCCUCGGGAAACUGGGAGUAAUACCGGAUGUACCCUUUGGGGGAAAGAUUUAUCGGCAAAGGAUCGGCCCGCGUUGGAUUAGGUAGUUGGUGUGGUAAUGGCCUACCAAGCCGAAGAUCCAUAGCUGGUUUGAGAGGAUGAUCAGCCACACUGGGACUGAGACACGGCCCAGACUCCUACGGGAGGCAGAAGUGGGGAAUCUUAGACAAUGGGGGAAACCCUGAUCUAGCCAUGCCGCGUGAGCGAUGAAGGCCUUAGGGUUGUAAAGCUCUUUCACCGGGGAAGAUAAUGACGGUACCCGGAGAAGAAGCCCCGGCUAACUCCGUG
This 435-nucleotide ribosomal RNA is filed under the name uncultured bacterium. RNAcentral describes it as "partial 16S ribosomal RNA". It matches the Rfam family "Bacterial small subunit ribosomal RNA", at positions 29 to 507 of the family's 1533-position model. The record is from RNAcentral.